This is a long non-coding RNA of Populus euphratica (Euphrates poplar), 415 nucleotides long. RefSeq lists it as uncharacterized. NCBI's taxonomy places the organism in Eukaryota, Viridiplantae, Streptophyta, Magnoliopsida, Malpighiales, Salicaceae. The transcript is spliced from 3 exons. The record is from RefSeq and is a predicted model, not a curated record.
GAAAGCUGGAACUUUAACAGAGGAUCGACAAGUAACGAAUCAUGGAGAGGGAGAGAUUGAGACAGAGAGAACGACUCGAAGCAAUCUUGCACUACAGAGGGCAAGAGCAGGAAGGUUGACACUGGAUGACUUUAGACAGUAUUUCCAUCUCCCUAUAGAAGAUGCAGCGAGGAGGUUGCACUUGUGUCCCACUGUAGUGAAGAAGAUAUGCCGGAAAUUCGGGAUGACUCGAUGGCCACACAGAAAGAUCAAAAGCAUCCAGAGGCAAUUAACAGAUCUCCAAGUACUCUUAAAUUCGAACGAUGCAGAAGAAAGGGUACGUGCACAAGUAGAAAUCAUGAGGCUUCAAGAGGAAAUAAGAAAUGCCUGUUCUGGGUCCGCUGGAUGAUAUUGUUAUGUGCAUAACAUGCGUGUU